CGUGUGUGGUCAGGUCUCGCUGCUGUGACAAUGUGCCAUUCAAGAACUGGACAUUCAAUCAUUUGCACGCGUCAAACUGGUCAACACAGUCGCCCUCAGUAUCAGCCCAAAGACUAGUAGAACAUCUUAGGUGUAUUGCUGCCCUCCACAGGCUAUUAACAGAAUGUCCUCCUUCUGUCCUAUGGCCCACACUACAGACUUGGACACAAACAGGACAGGAAGUAAUAAGCAGUUAAGGACGUCAAAACAAAAUGUAUGCAUUCUUUCUAACGGCCGCUGGGUGGAAGCAGAGGCUCCAUGUAUUACCUGAAGAAACAUUUGACUUCUGACCUUUCCACAUUAUUUAUCUCAU
This is a long non-coding RNA of Entelurus aequoreus (snake pipefish), 352 nucleotides long. RefSeq lists it as uncharacterized. The transcript is spliced from 3 exons. The record is from RefSeq and is a predicted model, not a curated record. NCBI's taxonomy places the organism in Eukaryota, Metazoa, Chordata, Actinopteri, Syngnathiformes, Syngnathidae.